UAGUAGAGAAUGUUCUAGGCCAAGGC
Molecule: non-coding RNA, 26 nt
Filed under: Mus musculus (house mouse)
Lineage: Eukaryota; Metazoa; Chordata; Mammalia; Rodentia; Muridae
Also listed under: 1 other name
Source: RNAcentral